GAUGAACGCUGGCGGCGUGCCUAAUACAUGCAAGUCGAGCGAACAGACGAGGAGCUUGCUCCUCUGACGUUAGCGGCGGACGGGUGAGUAACACGUGGAUAACCUACCUAUAAGACUGGGAUAACUUCGGGAAACCGGAGCUAAUACCGGAUAACAUGUUGAACCGCAUGGUUCAACAGUGAAAGACGGUCUUGCUGUCACUUAUAGAUGGAUCCGCGCCGCAUUAGCUAGUUGGUAAGGUAACGGCUUACCAAGGCAACGAUGCGUAGCCGACCUGAGAGGGUGAUCGGCCACACUGGAACUGAGACACGGUCCAGACUCCUACGGGAGGCAGCAGUAGGGAAUCUUCCGCAAUGGGCGAAGGCCUGACGGAGCAACGCCGCGUGAGUGAAGAAGGUCUUCGGAUCGUAAAACUCUGUUAUUAGGGAAGAACAAAUGUGUAAGUAACUAUGCACGUCUUGACGGUACCUAAUCAGAAAGCCACGGCUAACUACGUG
RNAcentral lists this ribosomal RNA (497 nucleotides) under uncultured bacterium. RNAcentral's name for it is "partial 16S ribosomal RNA". It matches the Rfam family "Bacterial small subunit ribosomal RNA", at positions 28 to 507 of the family's 1533-position model. The record is from RNAcentral.